Molecule: ribosomal RNA, 394 nt
Filed under: Salmonella enterica
Lineage: Bacteria; Pseudomonadati; Pseudomonadota; Gammaproteobacteria; Enterobacterales; Enterobacteriaceae
Also listed under: 1 other name
Description: bacterial SSU rRNA
Rfam family: Bacterial small subunit ribosomal RNA
Source: RNAcentral
AAAUUGAAGAGUUUGAUCAUGGCUCAGAUUGAACGCUGGCGGCAGGCCUAACACAUGCAAGUCGAACGGUAACAGGAAGCAGCUUGCUGCUUCGCUGACGAGUGGCGGACGGGUGAGUAAUGUCUGGGAAACUGCCUGAUGGAGGGGGAUAACUACUGGAAACGGUGGCUAAUACCGCAUAACGUCGCAAGACCAAAGAGGGGGACCUUCGGGCCUCUUGCCAUCAGAUGUGCCCAGAUGGGAUUAGCUUGUUGGUGAGGUAACGGCUCACCAAGGCGACGAUCCCUAGCUGGUCUGAGAGGAUGACCAGCCACACUGGAACUGAGACACGGUCCAGACUCCUACGGGAGGCAGCAGUGGGGAAUAUUGCACAAUGGGCGCAAGCCUGAUGCAG